UUGCUGACGAGUGGCGGACGGGUGAGUAAUGCUUGGGAAUCUGGCUUAUGGAGGGGGAUAACUGUGGGAAACUGCAGCUAAUACCGCGUAUUCUCUGAGGAGGAAAGGGUGGGACCUUAGGGCCACCUGCCAUAAGAUGAGCCCAAGUGGGAUUAGGUAGUUGGUGGGGUAAAGGCCUACCAAGCCUGCGAUCUCUAGCUGGUCUGAGAGGAUGACCAGCCACACUGGAACUGAGACACGGUCCAGACUCCUACGGGAGGCAGCAGUGGGGAAUAUUGCGCAAUGGGGGGAACCCUGACGCAGCCAUGCCGCGUGAAUGAAGAAGGCCUUCGGGUUGUAAAGUUCUUUCGGUAAUGAGGAAGGGAUGUUGUUAAAUAGAUAGCAUCAUUGACGUUAAUUACAGAAGAAGCACCGGCUAACUCCGUGCCAGCAGCCGCGGUAAUACGGAGGGUGCGAGCGUUAAUCGGAAUAACUGGGCGUAAAGGGCACGCAGGCGGACUUUUAAGUGAGAUGUGAAAUCCCCGAGCUUAACUUGGGAGCUGCAUUUCAAACUGGGAGUCUAGAGUACUUUAGGGAGGGGUAGAAUUCCACGUGUAGCGGUG
RNAcentral lists this ribosomal RNA (602 nucleotides) under uncultured Pasteurella sp. RNAcentral describes it as "bacterial SSU rRNA". It matches the Rfam family "Bacterial small subunit ribosomal RNA", at positions 85 to 683 of the family's 1533-position model. Lineage: Bacteria; Pseudomonadati; Pseudomonadota; Gammaproteobacteria; Pasteurellales; Pasteurellaceae. The record is from RNAcentral.